RNAcentral lists this long non-coding RNA (295 nucleotides) under Capra hircus (goat). Its description in RNAcentral is "lncRNA (ENSCHIG00000006057.1)". Lineage: Eukaryota; Metazoa; Chordata; Mammalia; Artiodactyla; Bovidae. The record is from RNAcentral.
CAUAGCACCAGCUGUUGGGGAUCGUGCCAAAGCCAGAGCGCACCUCGGUUAACCCUGAGAAUCCACACAGUGGUUCUGCUCGGAGUGCCUACUCCUCCCUCAAGAAAGCCAGCUGGGCCAAAACAGUGGAAUGUUUCCAGGGCUGUAAUACUAGAUUGAUUGCCCUGUCUCUUUCGUCUGUGUGUUCUUCCAUUUCCCACCGUCAACAACAUCCCACCCAACAAGCCACUCCACCUAGAAACCAUUGCAUUGCCAUGUGAAGAACCCAGGCUCACAGACUACGUAUGUAAACGGG